RNAcentral lists this ribosomal RNA (406 nucleotides) under uncultured bacterium. Its description in RNAcentral is "partial 16S ribosomal RNA". It matches the Rfam family "Bacterial small subunit ribosomal RNA", at positions 30 to 526 of the family's 1533-position model. The record is from RNAcentral.
AUUGAACGCUGGCGGCAGGCCUAACACAUGCAAGUCGAGCGAGCGGCGGACGGGUGAGUAAUGUAUGGGGAUAUGCCCGAUAGAGGGGGAUAACUACUGAAAACGGUGGCUAAUACCGCAUACUAUCGGAUGCACCAAUCUGGGAUUAGCUAGUAGGUGGGGUAAAGGCUCACCAGGGAGACGAUCUCUAGCUGGUCUGAGAGGAUGAGCAGCCACACUGGGACGGCGACACGGCCCAGACUCCUACGGGAGGCAGCAGUGGGGAAUAUUGAACAAUGGGCGCAAGCCUGAUGCAGCCAUGCCGCGUGUAUUAAGAAGGCCUUAGGGUUGUAAAGUACUUUCAGCGGGGAGGCGUUACCCGCAGAAGAAGAACCGGCUAACUCCGUGCCAGCAGCCGCGGUAAUUC